UUCACAAUAACCUUUUUGUGAAGUCACCCAUAAGUGUGAAGAAACUAAAUGAGACACUAUUUCACAUAAAGGCUCUGAUGCAAGUAAAAGGUCAUAAAUUCAGUGGCACUGCAGGUCUAGAAGAGCAAACGGCUGAGGCCUUCGGUGCUGCUCUGUUGGCAGCCUGUUGGCAAAAUGGCCUUUCACAGCAAACUCAGAAGAGAAGCAGCACUGCACCAUGAGCAAAUGCUAACCACUUUCUUUGAUUUGGCUUUAUAAGGCAGAGGAAAUAUGAAAAGGUGGAUUUCUCAGAAAUUCUUGUGGGGCAUAAAAGAGGAGGGAAAAACAACAACACCACACCAAGCGCAGAGCAAGCGUCUAUGUUGGUUGGGUGAUAGGGGCUUUUUCCACCCUGCCAGCCUGGGCCCUGAGCCCAUACCACAUGAGAGGAGGGUGGAGCAACACACGCGCUAAAACCCCUCAUCUACACUAUCAGACUACUCAAGUGUUCACGCUUCAAAAAGGAUGCAAAGGUAUCAUAAAAGUGGUCCAUACGACGUAUGCACUAUGUUCCAAAACUUUUGAAGUCUGAUAGCUUUAUGUUAGAAACAGACACAAUUAAAUUACAUGCUUCCCUCCAAAAAGGUGUUAACCACUGCCCCUAAAUCAAUCAAUCAAUGAGUUGAAGCUCAGAAGUGAAUCAAUUUGAUGUCAGAUUAGAGUGAACUGGAUCAGCUGCUUUAAAAAAAAAAAAAAAAAAAGAAUCACACACACAGCUAUUAAAUAACUUGGAAUAUACCACGACACGGAUAACAUUUAUGACACUAAUAUGGCCUCUUUUUUUCAUUUUCAAGCUUAUAUUCUUUCAAAAUUCCUCUUUUGUGUUCCACAGA
Molecule: long non-coding RNA, 872 nt
Organism: Sinocyclocheilus grahami
Lineage: Eukaryota; Metazoa; Chordata; Actinopteri; Cypriniformes; Cyprinidae
Exons: 3
Source: RefSeq, a predicted model, not a curated record